CUUUUUAGUCCCUGUGUAAUAAGUAUUUGUGUUAAUAAGAAGAUAUCAGGAGGUAAUCCACUGUUAUUUAGUGUGGUAGCUCUCUCAUAUAUUUGAAAAAAAUAAAUAAAAAAAAGCAUGAAAUUCGACUAUGAAUGCUUAGAAGAACCAAAUUGGCCAACAAUUCCAAGUGUGUCUGCUGAAGUUACCAAAAACAUGCAUAAAUGGUGUGGCAAAAUAUCAUAGAUUGUUUCAGACCUUUUAAAACGACUUAAAAUUCUUGAAGAUGAAAAGAUAAAUAACUUAACAGCAACAACAAAUAAACCAACAACAAUAUUCACAUAUGCACAAGCAACAUUAAUUCAGAAAAAUCAAUUAAAACCAAAAGAAACUGAAGUGGUAAUGAUGACAAAAAUUACAAACGAGUUUAAUAAUAAAAAAAGAAUUGAAAACAACAUCAUUAUAAGUGGAGUUGCUGAUCAUACUACUUUAGACAAACAAGUUAAUGAAGAAAAUGAUAAACAAACCAUUGAAACAAUACUAAAAGCAAUUAAACCAGAUUUUUCAAUAACAAAUGCAAUAAGAAUAAUUCGACUAACUAAAAAUGCUAAAAGACCAGAAGGACCACCUGACCUUAUCUUAGUUGAAUUGGAGAACAAAGAAACUUAAAAUUUUAUAAUUAAAAGUUCUAAAAAGUUAAAGGACAGUAUUAACUUCAAAAAUAUUUUUAUUAAAAAAGACUAAACAGCAAAUGAGAGAUUGUUCGAAAGUGAACUCAGAAAAGUUAGAAAUACUAGAAAUGCAGCACUUGCUCAAGAGAUUGAGGGAACAAAUGGGAGGUAACGAUACAAUGUGCACAAUGGAAAAAAUAUUAUUGGGGUAUACGAUCAGGUGAACUCAAAUGGAUCGAAAUUAAAUCAACAUAAUUUACAUAUAAAAAUUAAAAGAACCUCUGCAUUAAAUUUGGGUAUCCAAAAUGUUCAAUCUGCCAUGAAAAAAUCUGCUAUCAUUCAUGAUAUAGUGCAAAAUCAUUCUCUAGAUAUUUUUAUACUCACUGAAACUUGGAUAAAGUUGGACAACUCUACUGCAAUUAAAGAAGAUAUGGCCCCACCAGGCUUUAAAACAAUUCAAUACUGCCGAUCAGACCAUCGUGGAGGAGGCGUUGCAAUAAUAUAUAAAGACAACUUAAAUAUCAAGCUCUCAUUAUCAUCUACCUGUCUGUCUUAUGAACGUACAUCAGCUAAACUAAAUCUGGCAAAUACUAUCUACAAUAUUGUUGCUAUUUAUCGAUCAAAUCCAAUCAUUCCAACAAACAUUUUCUUUUUCAAAUUAUCUGAACUCCUAGAGGAACUUCAAACAUUAUCUGGAGAAAUACUUCUGUGUGGUGACUUUAACUGUCCAGGUACUACUUCAAUAACCUGCAAUUCAAGACUUAAUGAGAUUUUAGAGACCUACAACAUGAUACAACGAGUUCAAUCUCCAACUCGCAUAUCAUCUACUACUGGUAUAGCCAACUUGCUUGAUCUUGUAAUAAAUCGACAUGAUGAUAUUUUACUCAAGAGUAUCCAAGUAACUGACGAGGGUAUUUCAGAUCACUAUAUGAUUCGGGUAGAACUUUAUCAUCAACCUUCAAAUAUUAAAACUGUUUAGUUAUCAAAACGAAACUUUAGAAAACUAAACUUGUCAUGCUUUAUAAAAGAAUUGCAAGUGAUGCCAUGUUGCUUAUCACCUGAAAACGAUGUGGAUGAUUAUGCUGAACAAAUAAGAUCAAGUAUAACAACUGUUUUUGAUCAUUUAGCACCCAUUCGAAAAUAUUCAAUGCGAAUUGGUAAACACGAUGAUCAGUGGUUUUCUUCAGAUGCCAAGAAUAAAAAAAUCAGACGUCAUAAACUAGAGCGUUGUUAUAGAAAAACUGGUAGUUUAUCAGAUAAAAAAUUAUAUCGAACUGCACGCCAUGAGUCUGCAGCAGCAAUUCACAAAUCGAGAUGUAUUUUUUAUAAGGCAAAACUAAAUUCAGCAUACGGUGAUCAAAAAGAAACAUGGAACAUUGCCAAGAAAUUACUACAUUCGAAUAGUUCUAAAACUAAUAACACAAUACCAGAAGCAAAAUGCGAUAUAAUAAGUCAAUAUUUCAUACGAAAACUCGAAAUUAUAAAGAACACUAUUCAGGAAAGGCUUGCAAAAACUCCAAUAUCUAAAUUUAUCUCAGAGUUAUCUCCCCCUGUAGAUAUAUUAACAACAUUUGGUACAGUCACACCUAAAGAUGUGUUGAAAAUAAUCAAAACUCUCAAACCUAAGACAUCACCACUUGAUAUUAUUCCAACAAACAUCCUGAAAUCUUGUUCAGAAAUAUUCAGUCCAAUUAUAGCUCGCCUUGCUGACCUCUCAUUUAAAUCCGGAAUUUUCCCAACCUCAUAUAAAGUUGCUCAAAUAACACCAAUUCCCAAAAAAUCAGGACUAGCAGAAUUUGACCUAACAAAUCUACGCCCCAUAUCAAAUCUCAAUACAAUUUCAAAUUAUUGAAAAGCUUGCUUUAUCUUGUCUUUAUCCACAUGCAUCAUCUGUCAACUUCAAUCCUCUACAACCUGGUUUUAGAUCUUAUCACUCAACCAAAACAGCACACUUAAAGAAAUGCAAUGACAUCCUGCUAAACAUUAAUGAUGGUUUGACCACUAUUCUCCUAUCUCUGGACAUAUCUUCAGCAUUUGAUACAAUUGAUCACAGCCUGCUGAUUACCCUAAUUAAGAAUGAUUUUGGUGUCACAGAUAUUACAUUAAAAUGGCUAACAUCAUACUUGCACUCUCGAAAAUCUUUUGUUUCUAUUGGAUCAUCAAAUUCUAGACUAAUAGCAAGUUCAACAGGAGUAACACAGGGUAGUGUAUUAGGCCCAUUUCUAUUCUUCAUGUUUGUUUCACCUACAUAUCGUAUUAUAGCUAAAUUUGGUACAAAUCAUCAUCAAUAUGCUGAUGAUACCCAACUUUAUACUUUCCUCAGCCUUGGCAAAGAUAGCAUCAACAAAAUCACUGAGUGUGCUAAUGCAGUAACAACAUGGUUUCUAGAAAAUGGACUUCUUCUUAAUCCAAAUAAAACAGAAGCUAUUUUAUUUGGAUCUAGAAAACAAACUAGCAAAUAUAAAAAUGAUUUGAAUAUUGCGUUUUCUGGAACCACAAUAACUACAAUAAAUUCAGUAAAAAUCCUUGGAGUCAUCCUAGAUUCAAAGCUCUCUAUGGACAAGCACAUAAACAUUAUUAUUAAAUCCUGCAAUUACCACAUUCGUGCACUUCGCCACAUUCGUCCAUGUCUGACCAAAGAAGCUGCAAACAUAAUUGCUUGUGGCACCUCGUAUUGUUUUCCAUUCUCCUUUCCAUUUAAAAUCAGAAAUAUUGCUGAAAUCUUUUCAUUGGUUAAUACAUCAAACAUAAUCUUCAUUGGUUAAUACAUCAAACCAAUACAUCAAAGAAUAAUCUAUAAUAUAUCAGUUAUCACAUAUAAAAUUUUAUUAUCAAAAUCCCCUGCAUAUUUAUUUGAGCUCCUAGAAGUCCGAACUUCAAAACAAAAUACAAGAUCAUAAGACCGUUGCCAACUUACACGUCGUCAACAAAAAACCUCCCUAGGCUCAAAAUCUUUUUGUAUGACUGCACCUCCAAUUUGGAAUGGUUUAUCUUUGAACACGCAAAACUCAACUUCUAUAGAAAUAUUCAAUAUAUAUGUAUAUAUAUAUAAAUUUCAUGUAUAUAUAUAUAAAUUCUGAAUGGUAUUCUUCUUUGUGUUACAUUAUAAAAGUUUUAUAAUAAAAAUCAGUCCUGAUCUGCAAAAAAGUUUGACCUCUGGAAUUAUAUCUAUUUAUAAUCAAUUGCUUUUACUCUUCCAUAAUGUCAUAUUUUAUUAAGAAUAUCACAUUAUGGAAACCCGUCUGACACAUACAUAUAAGAGGAACGAUUAAACUUUUAAUACAACCAAUUAUAUUACAUUUUUUUUUAAUUUUAGAUGAACUUUUUUGCUUCGGCUAGAGGAGAUGAUUACAAACAACAUUCAGUGGGAACCUUAAUACAGCUAAUGGUCAAAGAAGUAUGUUUUUCGUGCUUAAUGUAUGGAAGGAAACAAAUACGUUCUGCAAGGUCGUUUUAGCUGUUGUACUGUUAAACUGAAGAUGGCAAUGAAGUUUAGAAAAUUUGCUCUAGAUGAAUUUUUUAAUAGAAAAACAACAUGUGUGCAAUGUAUGUAACCUAUUUUUCAUGGCUGAUCAAUGAAAGUUUGAUGUAUUGGCCAAAUCACUUGCAAGCAUCUUACUUUUUGGCUGCCAUACGUGAAGCCACGCUUCUAAAAGUAACUGGGAGCAGUUGAUAAUAAUUUUGCUUUAUUUUUUUGCUGAUGUACCGUUAAACUGAAGGUGGUAAUAAAGUUUACAAAAUUUGCUCUGGCUGAAUUUUUUAAUGAAAAAACAAUAUGUGUGCUUCGAAUGUAAUCUGUUUUUCAUGGUGUUUCAAUGAAAGUUUGGUGUAUUGGCCAAAUCAUCUUGCCUUUAAGCUGCCAUACGUAAAGUCACGCUUUUAAAAGUAACUGAAAGCAGCUGAAAAUAAGAAUUUUUUGAUGAACUUUCUUACUUCGGUUGGAGGAGAUGAGAAACAACUUACAGCGGCAAUCUUAAUACAGCUAAUGGCCAAAGAAGUAUGUUUUUCAUACUAAGUGUAUGGAAUGAAACAAAAACGUCCUGCAAGGUCGUUAUAGAGUUGCGUUUAGUCAUUUAUCGUUGUAUUCGUUCAUUUCGAAAUCGCUACUGACAAAAGUAUUAAAGAAAAAAUUGGCAGCUUUCUGGCGACGGCCAUUAAUAGAGAUUACGGAA
Molecule: non-coding RNA, 4822 nt
Organism: Hydra vulgaris (swiftwater hydra)
Lineage: Eukaryota; Metazoa; Cnidaria; Hydrozoa; Anthoathecata; Hydridae
Source: RefSeq, a predicted model, not a curated record